This 25-nucleotide unclassified non-coding RNA is filed under the name Mus musculus (house mouse). Its description in RNAcentral is "oocyte_clustered_small_RNA11434". The record is from RNAcentral. Lineage: Eukaryota; Metazoa; Chordata; Mammalia; Rodentia; Muridae.
GCUGGAGGCAGGCUUCCUCUAUGGC